This 758-nucleotide ribosomal RNA is filed under the name Dorstenia drakena. Its description in RNAcentral is "eukaryotic LSU rRNA". The stretch from base 308 to 463 matches the Rfam family "5.8S ribosomal RNA". Lineage: Eukaryota; Viridiplantae; Streptophyta; Magnoliopsida; Rosales; Moraceae. The record is from RNAcentral.
GGAAGUAAAAGUCGUAACAAGGUUUCCGUAGGUGAACCUGCGGAAGGAUCAUUGUCAAAACCUUGUAUAGAAAGACUUGCGAACAUGCAUGACCAACUCAGGGAGAUCAAGUACCUCUAUAGAGUCUUGGAUCCCUGCAUUUGUGCUUGGGGGGGGUGGGGUUUUUGUCCACUCCCGUCAACACAAAAAAUGAACCCCGGCGCUGAAUGCGUCAAGGAAUAUGAAAAAAACAAAAUGACUUGCACCGCCAUUGCCCCGGAGACGGUGUGUUGUGACGGUUGCUUUGUUAUUGGUUUUAUGUUAUAACAACUCUCGGCAACGGAUAUCUCGGCUCUCGCAUCGAUGAAGAACGUAGCGAAAUGCGAUACUUGGUGUGAAUUGCAGAAUCCCGUGAACCAUCGAGUCUUUGAACGCAAGUUGCGCCCGAAGCCAUCCGGUUGAGGGCAUGUCUGCCUGGGCGUCACACAUCGUUGCCCCCCCCAAUUAUCCCACUUCACUCCCAUUGGGUGUGUUAGGUCUUUGAUUGGGUGUGGCGGAAGAUGACCUCCCAUGUGUGCAAUCAUGUGGUUGGUUCAAAAUCAAGUUUGUGGUCACAUCAUCGUGACGUUAGGUGGUUUUUGACAACCUUGACGUACCUCGUUGCGUGUGUACAACCACGACUUAAGAUCCUACAAAGCUCCAAGUCUUGGAUGCUACCAAUGCGACCCCAGGUCAGGCAGGGCUACCCGCUGAGUUUAAACAUAUCAAUAAGCGGAGGA